RNAcentral lists this long non-coding RNA (539 nucleotides) under Setaria viridis. Its description in RNAcentral is "long non-coding RNA (SVIR_LNC008051)". Lineage: Eukaryota; Viridiplantae; Streptophyta; Magnoliopsida; Poales; Poaceae. The record is from RNAcentral.
GUUAAUAAAAACAGACGUGUAGGCAUUAUAGUUGGAGAAAGCAGCUGUUCCCCUUUGUGGUCAACGACUGGAAACACACCCAAGUUCACUGAAGCGUGGGCCUAUUCCAGAUAUUUGUCUCCCGCCUAUGUUGUAUGCAAGAUGAAACGCACCCAGCUUUGCUGACAAAUGGGUCCAAUAAGAGCGCAUAAUCUUGUCAGUGAUCCCGCAGCAAGUGCAGCUUACCAAAUUUUCAUUUUGUGCCCAAGAACUUGAAAGAGAGAUCUUCAAAUUCCGUAUUCCCUCGCCUCCCCCCAAAUAAAAACAUGGCUACCGUAGUGCCCCUCCAAACUCCCACCUUGUAUUUCCAAAAUUAGCACUCUCCUCUCUGCUGGUUGUAAAGUCCAACUAGAUCUACGGUGGCGAAUGACCUCGGCGGUCGCGGGGUAACUCAGUGGCGGCAGCAAGCUCCACAGGCGGCGGGCAUCAAUGUGUGGCAUGGUCGGCGACACUCUUGGAGGAACAUCUCAGUGUCCCUGCAGCAGCUGCGCCCAUGCUUG